GGCGGUUGAAGAUGAAUGUGCGUCUGAUUAGCUUGUUGGUGAGGUAACGGCUCACCAAGGCGAUGAUCAGUAAGGGCGUGAGAGCGUGGCCCCUCACAUGGACACUGAGACACGGGUCCAACUCCUACGGGAGGCAGCAGUAAGGAAUAUUGGUCAAUGGGCGCAAGCCUGAACCAGCCAUGCCGCGUGGAGGAUGAAGGCGCUCUGCGUUGUAAACUUCUUUGGUCGGAGACGAAACCCGUCCCUGCGGGGGCGGCUGACGGUAUCCGAAGAACAAGCACCGGCUAACUCCGUG
RNAcentral lists this ribosomal RNA (295 nucleotides) under uncultured bacterium. Its description in RNAcentral is "partial 16S ribosomal RNA". It matches the Rfam family "Bacterial small subunit ribosomal RNA", at positions 214 to 507 of the family's 1533-position model. The record is from RNAcentral.